RNAcentral lists this long non-coding RNA (465 nucleotides) under Homo sapiens (human). Its description in RNAcentral is "long non-coding RNA NONHSAT171027". The record is from RNAcentral. Lineage: Eukaryota; Metazoa; Chordata; Mammalia; Primates; Hominidae.
GAGCUGAAGAGCCAAGAGUCUCAGAGUCUGCAGCAGCAGCGAGACUAGUACCUGGGUCACCUGCAGCAGUACAUGGCCACCUAUCAGCAGCUGACCUCUGAGAAGGAGGCGCUGCACAGGCAGUUACUGCUGCAGACCCAGUUCGUGGACCAGCUGCAGCAGCAGGAAGCUUGGGGCAAAGCGGUGGCUGAGAUGGCCGGCCAAAAGUUGCAGGAGACCCAGGGGAGGGAGUUGCUGAGGACGGGGCCCCGAGGGGGAUGACCUGGCAACCUCCGUGCCUUCUCACUCUGUUUCCCGUCCCCUUAGGAGCACCUAGAAGCUGCCAGCCAGCGGAACCAACAGCUAGAGACCCAGCUAAGCCUCGUGGCUCUCCCUGGAGAAGGUACAGGAGACCACUCAGAGGAAGAGGAGAGAGCCCCAGGAGGAAGGGGGGACUGUUAGCAGCAUAGGAUUGAGGGGUUGGAA